GACGAACGCUGGCGGCGUGCUUAACACAUGCAAGUCGAACGGGCCUUGUCCCCUUUUUUUUUGGGGGUGGGGUUAGUGGCGAACGGGUGAGUAACACGUGAGUAACCUGCCCCUCACUUCUGGAUAACCGCUUGAAAGGGUGGCUAAUACGGGGUGUUCUGGCCUGCUCGCAUGGGUGGGUUUGGAAAGAUUCGACCGGUUUUGGUUGUUUUGGUGGGGGAUGGGCUCGCGGCCUAUCAGCUUGUUGGUGGGGUGAUGGCCUGCCAAGGCGUUGACGGGUAGCCGGCCUGAGAGGGUGGGCGGUCACACUGGGACUGAGACACGGCCCAGACUCCUACGGGAGGCAGCAGUGGGGAAUAUUGCACAAUGGGCGCAAGCCUGAUGCAGCGACGCCGCGUGAGGGAUGGAGGCCUUCGGGUUGGGAACCUCUUUCGCCAGUGAAGAAGGUCCUGCUCUUUGUGGUGGGGUUGACGGUAGCUGGGUUAAUGAAGCGCCGGCUAACUACGUG
This 508-nucleotide ribosomal RNA is filed under the name uncultured bacterium. RNAcentral's name for it is "partial 16S ribosomal RNA". It matches the Rfam family "Bacterial small subunit ribosomal RNA", at positions 28 to 507 of the family's 1533-position model. The record is from RNAcentral.